This 67-nucleotide transfer RNA is filed under the name Quedenfeldtia trachyblepharus (Atlas day gecko). RNAcentral describes it as "tRNA-Pro". The record is from RNAcentral. Lineage: Eukaryota; Metazoa; Chordata; Lepidosauria; Squamata; Sphaerodactylidae.
CAGAGAAUAGUUUAAGGUUAAAAUGUUAGUUUUGGGGACUAGCGUUGGGCGAUGUGCCCUUCUUUGA